RNAcentral lists this ribosomal RNA (490 nucleotides) under Ponticaulis sp. RNAcentral's name for it is "bacterial SSU rRNA". It matches the Rfam family "Bacterial small subunit ribosomal RNA", at positions 395 to 903 of the family's 1533-position model. The record is from RNAcentral. Lineage: Bacteria; Pseudomonadati; Pseudomonadota; Alphaproteobacteria; Hyphomonadales; Hyphomonadaceae.
UGCCGCGUGAAUGAUGAAGGCCUUAGGGUUGUAAAAUUCUUUCGCUAGGGACGAUAAUGACGGUACCUAGUAAAGAAGCCCCGGCUAACUUCGUGCCAGCAGCCGCGGUAAUACGAAGGGGGCUAGCGUUGUUCGGAAUUACUGGGCGUAAAGCGCGCGUAGGCGGACUAUCAAGUUGGAUGUGAAAUCCCGGGGCUCAACUCCGGAACUGCAUUCAAAACUGGUAGUCUAGAGGCCAGGAGAGGUCAGUGGAAUACCGAGUGUAGAGGUGAAAUUCGUAGAUAUUCGGUGGAACACCAGUGGCGAAGGCGACUGACUGGACUGGUACUGACGCUGAGGUGCGAAAGUGUGGGGAGCAAACAGGAUUAGAUACCCUGGUAGUCCACACCGUAAACGAUGAAUGCUAGUUGUCUGCAUGCAUGCAUGUAGGUGACGCAGCUAACGCAUUAAGCAUUCCGCCUGGGGAGUACGGCCGCAAGGUUAAAACUCA